This 497-nucleotide ribosomal RNA is filed under the name uncultured bacterium. RNAcentral's name for it is "partial 16S ribosomal RNA". It matches the Rfam family "Bacterial small subunit ribosomal RNA", at positions 28 to 507 of the family's 1533-position model. The record is from RNAcentral.
GAUGAACGCUGGCGGCGUGCCUAAUACAUGCAAGUCGAGCGAACAGACGAGGAGCUUGCUCCUCUGACGUUAGCGGCGGACGGGUGAGUAACACGUGGAUAACCUACCUAUAAGACUGGGAUAACUUCGGGAAACCGGAGCUAAUACCGGAUAACAUGUUGAACCGCAUGGUUUAACAGUGAAAGACGGUCUUGCUGUCACUUAUAGAUGGAUCCGCGCCGCAUUAGCUAGUUGGUAAGGUAACGGCUUACCAAGGCAACGAUGCGUAGCCGACCUGAGAGGGUGAUCGGCCACACUGGAACUGAGACACGGUCCAGACUCCUACGGGAGGCAGCAGUAGGGAAUCUUUCGCAACGGGCGAAAGCCUGACGGAGCAACGCCGCGUGAGUGAAGAAGGUCUUCGGAUCGUAAAACUCUGUUAUUAGGGAAGAACAAAUGUGUAAGUAACUAUGCACGUCUUGACGGUACCUAAUCAGAAAGCCACGGCUAACUACGUG